Molecule: ribosomal RNA, 34 nt
Filed under: Nervilia gammieana
Lineage: Eukaryota; Viridiplantae; Streptophyta; Magnoliopsida; Asparagales; Orchidaceae
Description: partial 26S ribosomal RNA
Source: RNAcentral
GCGACCCCAGGAUGGGCGGGGCCACCCGCCGAGU